This 426-nucleotide ribosomal RNA is filed under the name uncultured bacterium. RNAcentral's name for it is "partial 16S ribosomal RNA". It matches the Rfam family "Bacterial small subunit ribosomal RNA", at positions 355 to 774 of the family's 1533-position model. The record is from RNAcentral.
UGGGGAAUAUUGGACAAUGGGCGAAAGCCUGAUCCAGCCAUGCCGCGUGUGUGAAGAAGGUCUUCGGAUUGUAAAGCACUUAAGUUGGGAGGAAGGGCAUUAACCUAAUACGUUAGUGUUUUGACGUUACCGACAGAAUAAGCACCGGCUAACUCUGUGCCAGCAGCCGCGGUAAUACAGAGGGUGCAAGCGUUAAUCGGAAUUACUGGGCGUAAAGCGCGCGUAGGUGGUUUGUUAAGUUGGAUGUGAAAUCCCCGGGCUCAACCUGGGAACUGCAUUCAAAACUGACUGACUAGAGUAUGGUAGAGGGUGGUGGAAUUUCCUGUGUAGCGGUGAAAUGCGUAGAUAUAGGAAGGAACACCAGUGGCGAAGGCGACCACCUGGACUAAUACUGACACUGAGGUGCGAAAGCGUGGGGAGCAAACA